This 465-nucleotide ribosomal RNA is filed under the name uncultured bacterium. RNAcentral describes it as "partial 16S ribosomal RNA". It matches the Rfam family "Bacterial small subunit ribosomal RNA", at positions 338 to 795 of the family's 1533-position model. The record is from RNAcentral.
CCUACGGGUGGCAGCAGUAGGGAAUUUUCGUCAAUGGGCGCAAGCCUGAACGAGCAAUGCCGCGUGAACGAGGAAGGCCUUCGGAUCGUAAAGUUCUGUUGAAGGGGAAAAAGAGCGGAGAGAGGAAAUGCUUUCUGAUUGAUAUUACCCUUCGAGGAAGUCACGGCUAACUACGUGCCAGCAGCCGCGGGAAUACGUAGGUGGCGAGCGUUAUCCGGAAUGGUUGGGCGGAAAGGGUGCGUAGGCGGCUUGCUAAGUCUGGAGUGAAAGGGUCCGGCUUAAACCGGAAAUGGCAAUGGAUACUGGCGGGCUAGAGAGCAGGAGAGGGCGGUGGAACUCCAUGUGUAGCGGUAAAAUGCGUAGAUAUAUGGAAGAACACCAGUGGCGAAGGCGGCCGCCUGGCCUGUUACUGACGCUGAGGCACGAAAGCGUGGGGAGCAAAUAGGAUUAGAUACCCCAGUAGUC